GGGUAUAGUUCAAUGGCAGAGCACCGGUCUCCAAAACCGUCGAUGGGAGUUCGAAUCUCUCUACCC
This 66-nucleotide transfer RNA is filed under the name pig gut metagenome. It matches the Rfam family "tRNA". From Rfam's summary of the family: Transfer RNA (tRNA) molecules are approximately 80 nucleotides in length. The record is from RNAcentral.